GAUGAACGCUAGCGAUAGGCUUAACACAUGCAAGUCGAGGGGCAGCAUGGUCUUAGCUUGCUAAGACUGAUGGCGACCGGCGCACGGGUGCGUAACGCGUAUGCAACUUGCCUCACAGAGGGGGAAACCCCUCGAAAAACCGACUAAUACCCCCUUCACCCUAUUUUUGGCCUCCCAGGGAGAGGAAAUUAAAUUUGCCUUUAGAUAAGCAUGCGUUCCAUUAGCUAGUUGGUGAGGUAACGGCUCACCAAGGCGACGAUGGGUAGGGGAACUGAGAGGUUGAACCCCCACACUGGUACUGAGACACGGACCAGACUCCUACGGGAGGCAGCAGUGAGGAAUAUUGGUCAAUGGGCGAGGGCCUGAACCAGCCAAGUCGCGUGAAGGAUGACUGUCUUAUGGAUUGUAAACUUCUUUUGUAGGGGAAUAAAGAGGGGAACGUGUGCCCCAGUGAAUGUACCCUACGAAUAAGCAUCGGCUAACUCCGUG
This 489-nucleotide ribosomal RNA is filed under the name uncultured bacterium. RNAcentral's name for it is "partial 16S ribosomal RNA". It matches the Rfam family "Bacterial small subunit ribosomal RNA", at positions 28 to 507 of the family's 1533-position model. The record is from RNAcentral.